GACGAAGAACGCAGCGAAAUGCGAUACGUAAUGUGAAUUGCAGAAUUCAGUGAAUCAUCGAAUCUUUGAACGCAUAUUGCGCUCUCUGGUAUUCCGGAGAGCAUGCUUGUUUGAGUAUCAGUAAACACCUCAACUUCCAUAUCUUUUUUGAAAUGGGAGUUGGACUUGAGUGAUCCCAACGCUUUUCCUCACCGAAAAGUGGCGGGUUACUUGAAAUGCAGGUGCAGCUGGACUUUUCUCUGAGCUAUAAGCAUAUCUAUUUAGUCUGCCUAAAAAACAGAUUAUUACCUUUGCUGCAGCUAACAUAAAGGAGAUUAGUUCUUGUGCUGACUGAUGCAGGAUUCACAAAGACAGGCUUCGGCCGACUUUGUAAUCUCGAUCUCAAAUCAAGUAAGACUACCCGCUGAACUUAAGCAUAUCAAUAAGCGGAGGA
RNAcentral lists this unclassified non-coding RNA (433 nucleotides) under soil metagenome. RNAcentral's name for it is "partial contains 5.8S ribosomal RNA, internal transcribed spacer 2, and large subunit ribosomal RNA". The stretch from base 1 to 120 matches the Rfam family "5.8S ribosomal RNA", at positions 35 to 154 of the family's 154-position model. The record is from RNAcentral.